Molecule: ribosomal RNA, 253 nt
Filed under: uncultured bacterium
Lineage: Bacteria
Description: partial 16S ribosomal RNA
Rfam family: Bacterial small subunit ribosomal RNA
Source: RNAcentral
UACGUAGGCAGCGAGCGUUGUUCGGAAUUACUGGGCGUAAAGAGUGUGUAGGCGGUUUGAAAAGUCUGAUAUUAAAGACUGGGGCUUAACUCCAGGAGUGUAUCGGAAACUUUCAGACUAGAGGACAAUAGAGGAAGUCGGAAUUCUCAGUGUAGCGGUGAAAUGCGUAGAUAUUGGGAAGAACACCAGUGGCGAAAGCGGACUUCUGGGUUGUUACUGACGCUGAGGUACGAAAGCGUGGGGAGCAAACGGG